RNAcentral lists this ribosomal RNA (392 nucleotides) under uncultured bacterium. RNAcentral's name for it is "partial 16S ribosomal RNA". It matches the Rfam family "Bacterial small subunit ribosomal RNA", at positions 523 to 918 of the family's 1533-position model. The record is from RNAcentral.
AUACGUAUGUCGCAAGCGUUAUCCGGAUUUAUUGGGCGUAAAGCGCGUCUAGGCGGCUUAGUAAGUCUGAUGUGAAAAUGCGGGGCUCAACCCCGUAUUGCGUUGGAAACUGCUAAACUAGAGUACUGGAGAGGUAGGCGGAACUACAAGUGUAGAGGUGAAAUUCGUAGAUAUUUGUAGGAAUGCCGAUGGGGAAGCCAGUCUACUGGACAGAUACUGACGCUAAAGCGCGAAAGCGUGGGUAGCAAACAGGAUUAGAUACCCUGGUAGUCCACGCCGUAAACGAUGAUUACUAGGUGUUGGGGGUCGAACCUCAGUGCCCAAGCUAACGCGAUAAGUAAUCCGCCUGAGGAGUACGUACGCAAGUAUGAAACUCAAAGGAAUUGACGGGG